ACCCGCACAAGCGGUGGAUGAUGUGGAUUAAUUCGAUGCAACGCGAAAACCUUACCUACGCUUGACAUGUCAGGAACCUCGAAGAGAUUUGAGGGUGCCCGAAAGGGAACCUGAACACAGGUGCUGCAUGGCUGUCGUCAGCUCGUGUCGUGAGAUGUUGGGUUAAGUCCCGCAACGAGCGCAACCCUUAUCAUUAGUUGCUACGCAAGGGCACUCUAAUGAGACUGCCGGUGACAAACCGGAGGAAGGUGGGGAUGACGUCAAGUCCUCAUGGCCCUUAUGCGUAGGGCUUCACACGUCAUACAAUGGUCGGUACAGAGGGUUGCCAACCCGCGAGGGGGAGCCAAUCCCACAAAGCCGAUCGUAGUCCGGAUUGCAGUCUGCAACUCGACUGCAUGAAGUCGGAAUCGCUAGUAAUCGCGGAUCAGCAUGUCGCGGUGAAUACGUUCCCGGGUCUU
Molecule: ribosomal RNA, 458 nt
Filed under: uncultured Derxia sp.
Lineage: Bacteria; Pseudomonadati; Pseudomonadota; Betaproteobacteria; Burkholderiales; Alcaligenaceae
Description: bacterial SSU rRNA
Rfam family: Bacterial small subunit ribosomal RNA
Source: RNAcentral